Molecule: long non-coding RNA, 272 nt
Organism: Micropterus salmoides (largemouth bass)
Lineage: Eukaryota; Metazoa; Chordata; Actinopteri; Centrarchiformes; Centrarchidae
Exons: 2
Source: RefSeq, a predicted model, not a curated record
UUUGUGUGUAUUUCUGUGUAUUUUGUUUUCCAGAGAGUGAUCCAGCUGCAGUCUACUCAGGAGAUGUCAGUUAUGGACAAAUAGCUGUCAGGCCACACAAGACGAGAGAGUUUCCAGCAGAGCCAGAGGUCGUCUACUCUUCACUGAGGUAGACCUUCACACCUUCACACCAGUCCAACCACUGAUGUCCAGCUGGCCUGGAACUGGUCCCCAGAGCCCCUCACACCUCAGCACAUCCAUUAAUUAUAUAAAUAAAUUGUUAAAAUCCUGUU